UCCUAGGCAUUCACCAUAGACUCUUAUUACUUUGACCAUAUUUUUAUCUUCCAUCUCUAUUUUGCCAAUUUGUUUAUGCAACAUAGAAUAAUAUAUAUCUUUGUUUAAUCCAUGUCAAUAUAUAUUUUAUUUUUUAUAUUAUUUGAAUAAAACAUUCAAAAACAUGAACAUCUAAAAACAUAAAAAAUAAAAUCAAUGUUUAAAGUAUAAAUAAAAACCCUGGCAAUAACUUACUCUCCCGCGAACUCGCAG
This 252-nucleotide unclassified non-coding RNA is filed under the name Borreliella garinii. RNAcentral's name for it is "partial 5S-23S ribosomal RNA intergenic spacer". The record is from RNAcentral. Lineage: Bacteria; Pseudomonadati; Spirochaetota; Spirochaetia; Spirochaetales; Borreliaceae.